RNAcentral lists this ribosomal RNA (479 nucleotides) under uncultured bacterium. Its description in RNAcentral is "partial 16S ribosomal RNA". It matches the Rfam family "Bacterial small subunit ribosomal RNA", at positions 28 to 507 of the family's 1533-position model. The record is from RNAcentral.
GAUGAACGCUAGCGGGAGGCCUAACACAUGCAAGCCGAGCGGUAUUGUUUCUUCGGAAAUGAGAGAGCGGCGUACGGGUGCGUAACACGUGUGCAACCUGCCUUUAUCUGGGGGAUAGCCUUUCGAAAGGAAGAUUAAUACUCCAUAAUAUAUUGAACGGCAUCGUUUAAUGUUGAAAGCUCCGGCGGAUAGAGAUGGGCACGCGCAAGAUUAGCUAGUUGGUGAGGUAACGGCUCACCAAGGCGAUGAUCUUUAGGGGGCCUGAGAGGGUGAUCCCCCACACUGGUACUGAGACACGGACCAGACUCCUACGGGAGGCAGCAGUGAGGAAUAUUGGUCAAUGGGUGCAAGCCUGAACCAGCCAUCCCGCGUGAAGGACGACUGCCCUAUGGGUUGUAAACUCCUUUUGUAUAGGGAUAAACCUACCCUCGAGAGGGUAGCUGAAGGUACUAUACGAAUAAGCACCGGCUAACUCCGUG